RNAcentral lists this ribosomal RNA (506 nucleotides) under uncultured bacterium. RNAcentral describes it as "bacterial SSU rRNA". It matches the Rfam family "Bacterial small subunit ribosomal RNA", at positions 488 to 993 of the family's 1533-position model. The record is from RNAcentral.
UAGCGCCGGCUAACUCUGUGCCAGCAGCCGCGGUAAUACAGAGGGUGCAAGCGUUAAUCGGAUUUACUGGGCGUAAAGCGCGCGUAGGCGGCUAAUUAAGUCAAAUGUGAAAUCCCCGAGCUUAACUUGGGAAUUGCAUUCGAUACUGGUUAGCUAGAGUGUGGGAGAGGAUGGUAGAAUUCCAGGUGUAGCGGUGAAAUGCGUAGAGAUCUGGAGGAAUACCGAUGGCGAAGGCAGCCAUCUGGCCUAACACUGACGCUGAGGUGCGAAAGCAUGGGGAGCAAACAGGAUUAGAUACCCUGGUAGUCCAUGCCGUAAACGAUGUCUACUAGCCGUUGGGGCCUUUGAGGCUUUAGUGGCGCAGCUAACGCGAUAAGUAGACCGCCUGGGGAGUACGGUCGCAAGACUAAAACUCAAAUGAAUUGACGGGGGCCCGCACAAGCGGUGGAGCAUGUGGUUUAAUUCGAUGCAACGCGAAGAACCUUACCUGGNCUUGACAUAGUAAG